AAGGGUUGAAAUUAAUUCAAUUGAAAGCUAUGAAAGGGGUAUAUAAUUGCCCGAUUAGUUUAGGGUUUAAAGUAAGUUGAGCGGACAAGUUCAAGGGGAAAUCAUGUCUUUCUCUAGUGGAAAAAACGUGAAGUGUGUAGAAUGUGUGUUUGUUAUAGUGAGGCAGCCCAAAAGAGUGAGAGGGGUAGGGGUAUGUGGGGUAGGGUGGUUAGAAUGAGAUAAAAUUUAUUAACAAUUUUGGUUAAAAGUUAGUUAUUUUUAUCUUUUUAUGAAAAAAUUAUAGAAUGAGAUGGGGUGCGUGAUAAGAUAAGGCGAAUGAUUAGAAAUUAACUAUUUAGAAAAGACAAAAUUACUUGUCUACAAUAUUACUUUGAAUACAAUACAGAUAAACAGUGAUGUGGAAUGUUUCUUGCAAAUUGGUUAUCAAAAUUAUUGUAUUUCUAAUCACAUAUUAAAUUCUAAUGUAGAGUACCGUUAACUAAUAAAUAGGAAAAUUUGGGUCAACCCGCCUUUGACCCUGCCUAAUUUGUCACACAACCACUUUUAUCAAUCUAUAUCAUUUAGGUUUUGCACUUAAUUUUCUAUUUUACCUGAAUUCUACCAUAACUGCAUUUUAGAUCAAAGAGAUUUUCUUAGUAUAUAAAAGGUUUCCUCUUUGAAAAAGAUUUGUUCCAUACUUGGUCACCCUAUCUUGGAG
This 697-nucleotide long non-coding RNA is filed under the name Capsicum annuum. RNAcentral's name for it is "long non-coding RNA (CANN_LNC000802)". The record is from RNAcentral. Lineage: Eukaryota; Viridiplantae; Streptophyta; Magnoliopsida; Solanales; Solanaceae.